UUGAUACUGAAGGACUUGAAUAUAAUUGAGGUAAGCGGAAUGAGUAGUGUAGCGGUGAAAUGCUUAGAUAUUACUCAGAACACCAAUUGCGAAGGCAGCUUACCAAGCUAUAAUUGACGCUGAGGCACGAAAGCGUGGGGAUCGAACAGGAUUAGAUACCCUGGUAGUCCACGCCGUAAACGAUGUUCACUCGCUGUUUGCGAUAUACAGUAAGCGGCCAAGCGAAAGCAUUAAGUGAACCACCUGGGGAGUACGUCGGCAACGGUGAAACUCAAAGGAAUUGACGGGCGCCCGCACAAGCGGAGGAACAUGUGGUUUAAUUCGAUGAUACGCGAGGAACCUUACCUGGGCUUAAAUGUAGAUUGCAUGAGGUGGAAACACCCUUCCCUUCGGGGCCAUCUACAAGGUGCUGCAUGGUUGUCGUCAGCUCGUGCCGUGAGGUGUCGGGUUAAGUCCCAUAACGAGCGCAA
RNAcentral lists this ribosomal RNA (470 nucleotides) under uncultured bacterium. Its description in RNAcentral is "bacterial SSU rRNA". It matches the Rfam family "Bacterial small subunit ribosomal RNA", at positions 627 to 1101 of the family's 1533-position model. The record is from RNAcentral.